Molecule: ribosomal RNA, 396 nt
Filed under: uncultured bacterium
Lineage: Bacteria
Description: partial 16S ribosomal RNA
Rfam family: Bacterial small subunit ribosomal RNA
Source: RNAcentral
AUACGUAGGUGGCAAGCGUUGUCCGGAUUUAUUGGGCGUAAAGGGCGUGUAGGCGGUCUUGCAAGUCAGAAGUGAAAUUCCUGAGCUCAACUCGGGCGCUGCUUCUGAAACUGCAGGACUUGAGUGCUGGAGGGGAUAGCGGAAUUCCUAGUGGAGCGGUAAAAUGCGCAGAUAUUAGGAAGAACACCGGUGGCGAAGGCGGCUAUCUGGCCAGUAACUGACGCUGAGGCUCGAAAGCAUGGGUAGAGAACAGGAUUAGUUACCCUGGUACUCCAUGCCGUAAACGAUGAAUACUAGGUGUAGGGGUUGUCAUGACCUCUGUGCCGCCGCUAACGCAUUAAGUAUUCCGCCUGGGGAGUACGGUCGCAAGAUUAAAACUCAAAGGAAUUGACGGGG